This 359-nucleotide long non-coding RNA is filed under the name Gossypium raimondii (Peruvian cotton). RNAcentral describes it as "long non-coding RNA (GRAI_LNC004441)". The record is from RNAcentral. Lineage: Eukaryota; Viridiplantae; Streptophyta; Magnoliopsida; Malvales; Malvaceae.
CACCUUUUUACUUUUCCCUUAAAACUUUUACUCCUUCCAUUUUCCCCCCAAAACUUUUACUCCUCUCCCCUCCCAACCCCCCAAUCUACCCAAAAUUCAUUUCCCACCAAAAUUUUACUCUUCCAUUUACUUUUUCUCAAAAUUUUACUCCCAAAAACCCUCAAAAACUUUUAUUUUCCCCCAAAAUUUUUACUCCCUCCCACUUUUCCCCUAAAACUUUUAUUCCCUUCCCAUCCCACCUCUCAUCUACCCCAAACCCUCCCCCCUCCAAUUUUUUUUCAUAUUUUCCCUCCAAAAUUUUGCUCCCCUAUUUACUUUUCCUCAAACUUUUAUUCCCCAAAACUUUUUAUUUUCCCCCU